GCCCACGUAGUGUAAUGGAUAACACACAAGAUUCCGGUUCUUGCAAUGAAGGUUCGAUUCCUUUCGUGGGUA
RNAcentral lists this transfer RNA (72 nucleotides) under Abyssicoccus albus. It matches the Rfam family "tRNA". From Rfam's summary of the family: Transfer RNA (tRNA) molecules are approximately 80 nucleotides in length. Their secondary structure includes four short double-helical elements and three loops (D, anti-codon, and T loops). Lineage: Bacteria; Bacillati; Bacillota; Bacilli; Caryophanales; Abyssicoccaceae. The record is from Rfam by way of RNAcentral.